This 468-nucleotide ribosomal RNA is filed under the name uncultured bacterium. RNAcentral describes it as "partial 16S ribosomal RNA". It matches the Rfam family "Bacterial small subunit ribosomal RNA", at positions 28 to 507 of the family's 1533-position model. The record is from RNAcentral.
GACGAACGCUGGCGGCGUGCUUAACACAUGCAAGUCGAACGGAAAGGCCCUGCUUUUGUGGGGUGCUCGAGUGGCGAACGGGUGAGUAACACGUGAGUAACCUGCCCUUGACUUUGGGAUAACUUCAGGAAACUGGGGCUAAUACCGGAUAGGAGCUCCUGCUGCAUGGUGGGGGUUGGAAAGUUUCGGCUGUUGGGGAUGGACUCGCGGCUUAUCAGCUUGUUGGUGGGGUGGUGGCUUACCAAGGGUUUGACGGGUAGCCGGCCUGAGAGGGUGGCCGGCGACAUUGGGACUGAGAUACGGCCCAGACUCCUACGGGAGGCAGCAGUGGGGAAUAUUGCACAAUGGGCGGAAGCCUGAUGCAGCAACGCCGCGUGCGGGAUGACGGCCUUCGGGUUGUAAACCGCUUUCGCCUGUGACGAAGCGUGAGUGACGGUAAUGGGUAAAGAAGCACCGGCUAACUACGUG